GCGAACGCUGGCGGCAGGCCUAACACAUGCCAGUCGCACGAACCUUUCGGGGUUAGUGGCGGACGGGUGAGUAACACGUGGGAACGUGCCUUUAGGUUCGGAAUAACUCAGGGAAACUUGUGCUAAUACCGAAUGUGCCCUUCGGGGGAAAGAUUUAUCGCCUUUAGAGCGGCCCGCGUCUGAUUAGCUAGUUGGUUGAGGUAAUGGCUCACCAAGGCGACGAUCAGUAGCUGGUCUGAGAGGAUGAUCAGCCACAUUGGGACUGAGACACGGCCCAAACUCCUACGGGAGGCAGCAGUGGGGAAUCUUGCGCAAUGGGCGAAAGCCUGACGCAGCCAUGCCGCGUGAAUGAUGAAGGUCUUAGGAUUGUAAAAUUCUUUCACCGGGGACGAUAAUGACGGUACCCGGAGAAGAAGCCCCGGCUAACUUCGUG
RNAcentral lists this ribosomal RNA (433 nucleotides) under uncultured bacterium. Its description in RNAcentral is "partial 16S ribosomal RNA". It matches the Rfam family "Bacterial small subunit ribosomal RNA", at positions 29 to 507 of the family's 1533-position model. The record is from RNAcentral.